Molecule: small nuclear RNA, 185 nt
Filed under: Cryptosporidium parvum
Lineage: Eukaryota; Apicomplexa; Conoidasida; Eucoccidiorida; Cryptosporidiidae
Source: RNAcentral
UUUUUGGCAUACAGAGUCACUGUAAUUGAUAACUUCUUGAAUAAAAAAACAAUUUGAGAGUUCACUGAUCUUAUGGUGCUAAGUCAUGCCUAUAUUAAAUACAAUUAUCGGAUCUUUGUUGAUAUUUCAUUGUGCUUGUUGCACUCGUCUCUGAUAUUAACAUUAUCCCAAGUUUUUACAAUUAA